Ananas comosus (pineapple) is the source of this 715-nucleotide long non-coding RNA. RefSeq lists it as uncharacterized. The record is from RefSeq and is a predicted model, not a curated record. The transcript has 3 exons. Lineage: Eukaryota; Viridiplantae; Streptophyta; Magnoliopsida; Poales; Bromeliaceae.
UUGUAAAAGAAGCAAAUGCUUCUUCUCCCUCAACCGUGCAGCCCCAACCCGUGCACACCCACGACACACACCCACACACGCAUGGAAGGAGAAGAGAAAACCCUCUCUUUCUCUCUCUAAAUCUCUCCAAAAAUUAAAGGAAUUGGCGGAGGUUGAAGCUUGGGAGUGGAUCACCAUUGUCUUCUUCAUCUUCUCCAUGAUUUGGAGCUAAUUUUGAGGUAAACGAACGCGUUGGCAAAGACGGUUCGGCAAUCCGACGAGCCGUUACAAAGUUAUUAAAGAAACGGAUGUUUAGGCUUCGUUUCCGCCUGGAGGGCCGAGGCGACGUCGUAAAAUCGUGAAAACAGAUUUGAAUCACCGUGGCACAUCACCGAAGACCUUUAAUUUCCGGAUCGUGGAUUGGAGGCCGUUCGGGUGGUCGCGCGAGGGAUCGGGCCAAACCGGGUGCCGGGUGCCGCGGGCGGCCGAUUGCAAGUGACUACGAGCAAUCGGAAAGCUAGCUAAGGUUCGUACGUGAGCGGCGCGGCGGCGCGAGGAAAGGGCGUAGCUCCGUAGAUAGCGCCCUACCCCGGAGACCAGAGCUAGAAGUACCCCGUCGACGUCGCUUAGGGGUUAAGAAAAUGAAAAGAACAUAAUGUAUCAAAUUUGUAAUAAGUAAAUGUUGUAAUAACUUAGAUUGCAUUUGGAUGAAAUGAAUGGUGGUUGAGAUGUAAAA